This 408-nucleotide ribosomal RNA is filed under the name uncultured bacterium. RNAcentral's name for it is "partial 16S ribosomal RNA". It matches the Rfam family "Bacterial small subunit ribosomal RNA", at positions 28 to 526 of the family's 1533-position model. The record is from RNAcentral.
GACGAACGCUGGCGGCGUGCUUAACACAUGCAAGUCGAACGAAGUGGCGAACGGGUGAGUAACGCGUAAUCAACCUGUCCGUCAGAGGGGGACAACAGUUGGAAACGACUGCUAAUCCCGCAUACUGAAGGAGGGGAUUGCGUCUGAUUAGCUAGGUGGAGGGGUAACGGCCCACUAAGGCGAAGAUCAGUAGCCGGGCUGAGAGGAUGAACUGCCACAUUGGGACUGAUACACGGCCCAGCAUCCUACGGGAGGCAGCAGUGGGGAAUCUUCCGCAAUGGACGAAAGUCUGACGGAGCAACGCCGCGUGAGUGAUGACGGCCUUCGGGUUGUAAAGCUCUGUUAAUCGGGACGCGGUACCGGAAUAGAAAGCCACGGCUAACUACGUGCCAGCAGCCGCGGUAAUUC